Molecule: ribosomal RNA, 282 nt
Filed under: uncultured bacterium
Lineage: Bacteria
Description: partial 16S ribosomal RNA
Rfam family: Bacterial small subunit ribosomal RNA
Source: RNAcentral
UUGAACCUACGGGGCGCAGCAGUAGGGAAUCUUCCACAAUGGGCGAAAGCCUGAUGGAGCAACGCCGCGUGGGUGAAGAAGGUCUUCGGAUCGUAAAACCCUGUUGUUAGAGAAGAAAGUGCGUGAGAGUAACUGUUCACGUUUCGACGGUAUCUAACCAGAAAGCCACGGCUAACUACGUGCCAGCAGCCGCGGUAAUACGUAGGUGGCAAGCGUUGUCCGGAUUUAUUGGGCGUAAAGCGAGUGCAGGCGGGUCAAUAAGGCUGAUGUGAAAGCCUUCGG